RNAcentral lists this ribosomal RNA (500 nucleotides) under uncultured Myrionecta. RNAcentral's name for it is "SSU rRNA". It matches the Rfam family "Eukaryotic small subunit ribosomal RNA", at positions 34 to 598 of the family's 1831-position model. Lineage: Eukaryota; Ciliophora; Litostomatea; Cyclotrichida; Mesodiniidae. The record is from RNAcentral.
CUGUCUCAGACUAGCCAUGCACGUCUAAGUACAAACUAAAUGAUGGUGAAACUGCAAAUGGCUCAUUACAACGGUUAUGAUGUACCCGGGAGUUCCGAUGGAUAUUUCCAGUAACACUAGAACUAAUACAUGUCCCUGCGUUUAUUAGUUUCGCACAGUCCGUCGCUGAGUCAUGGUAAACAGUUGAUCGACUCGACGUCCCGGAACAGUUUCCGCCCCAUCAGCUUCGAUGGUUGGGUAUUGGCCUACCAUUGCAACAACGGGUAACGAGGAAUUAGGGUUUGAUUUCGGAGAGGGAGCCUGAGAAACGGCUACCACAUCUACGGAUGGCAGCAGGCGCGCAAAUUACCCAAUGCAGACACUGUGAGGUAGUGACGAGAAAUAAUAAAGCGGGACUUCUGUUUCGCUAUUAUAAUGAGGAAUAACCAAAGGUCAUUCCGAUUAGCAACUGAUGGGAAAGUCUGGUGCCAGCAGCCGCGGUAAUACCAGCGUCAGUAGCA